RNAcentral lists this ribosomal RNA (396 nucleotides) under uncultured bacterium. Its description in RNAcentral is "partial 16S ribosomal RNA". It matches the Rfam family "Bacterial small subunit ribosomal RNA", at positions 523 to 918 of the family's 1533-position model. The record is from RNAcentral.
AUACGUAGGGAGCGAGCGUUGUCCGGAAUUACUGGGUGUAAAGGGAGCGUAGGCGGGAGGGCAAGUCAGAUGUGAAAUACAUGGGCUCAACCCAUGGGCUGCAUUUGAAACUGCAUUUCUUGAGUGAAGUAGAGGUAAGCGGAAUUCCUGGUGUAGCGGUGAAAUGCGUAGAUAUCAGGAGGAAAACCGGUGGCGAAGGCGGCUUACUGGGCUUUUACUGACGCUGAGGCUCGAAAGCGUGGGGAGCAAACAGGAUUAGAUACCCUGGUAGUCCACGCUGUAAACGAUGAUUACUAGGUGUGGGGGGACUGACCCCUUCCGUGCCGCAGUUAACACAAUAAGUAAUCCACCUGGGGAGUACGGCCGCAAGGUUGAAACUCAAAUGAAUUGACGGGG